GAGUUUGAUCUUGGCUCAGAGCGAACGCUGGCGGCAGGCCUAACACAUGCAAGUCGAACGAACUCUUCGGAGUUAGUGGCGGACGGGUGAGUAACACGUGGGAACGUGCCUUUUGGUUCGGAAUAACUCAGGGAAACUUGUGCUAAUACCGAAUGUGCCCUUCGGGGAAGAUUUAUCGCCAUUAGAGCGGCCCGCGUCUGAUUAGCUAGUUGGUGAGGUAAAGGACUCACCAAGGCGACGAUCAGUAGCUGGUCUGAGAGGAUGAUCAGCCACAUUGGGACUGAGACACGGCCCAAACUCCUACGGGAGGCAGCAGUGGGGAAUCUUGCGCAAUGGGCGAAAGCCUGACGCAGCCAUGCCGCGUGAAUGAUGAAGGUCUUAGGAUUGUAAAAUUCUUUCUACCGGGGACGAUAAAUGACGGUACCCGGACGAAGAGGCCCCGGCGUAACUUCGUGCCAGCCGCCGCAU
This 468-nucleotide ribosomal RNA is filed under the name uncultured microorganism. RNAcentral's name for it is "bacterial SSU rRNA". It matches the Rfam family "Bacterial small subunit ribosomal RNA", at positions 9 to 520 of the family's 1533-position model. The record is from RNAcentral.